GGAGUGGGAGGGGAAGAGGGUGAAAAAGAAAAAGAAUCCGCAGCAGCAAAAAAGGAAGAAGGAUAGUAUAAGGAUUUGCACCGAGAGUAAUAAGACGAGCCUGCAGAGUGUGGGUGAGGGGAAUAAUAGUAAUGGAAACAUCGAUAGUAACGGAAAUAGUGGGAGUUUCAAUUCUGGGAAUUGUAUGGUUAUUCAGGAUGUGUGGUGUGGGCCAGGAAUUGGGUUUUCUUCUGAUGCUGUUGUUGGGUCUGUGGAUUGUGUUGUGACGAGGAGAAAUGCGCCUGGGAGAGGGAAGAUUGAUGGGGACAACAAAAUCAAUCAAAGGGAGAGAGAGCGUGCUUCCUGUUUAGGGAGGCGGGCAACGGUGAAUCCUGAAACUCUUUCUUUUUUGGAUACGGACCCUGCUUUUGUAACAUCUCGCCCAGGACCUGAAGUCUUUGGAAGUAGAUAUUAUCGUCAUGUUCGACAUCCUUCCCCUGAUGGUUUAGCUGAGGUGUGUCCAUUGUUCAUGGAUUUUUAUUGCUAUGUCAUUGACAAUUGUAUGUUAUGUAAUUUUUGUGUUGCCUGUGCUUCCAUUGGGGUAAUUAGAGGGCACUGCAUUCAGAAUGAAUGUCAGCUUAUGGUGGAAUGGCUGAUUGUGUUGUUGCAAUGGUCAUUUCUUUUUAAAACACAUCUGUUUAAUUGAGUGAAGAGAUGGAGAAUUGUAGCUUUAUUUUGUUUAUGGUCAUCUGUGAUUUUCAGCCUCAGUUGUUUUCUUGGAGAGGGGGAGAGAUGGAGAGAUUCUUUUUGGGUUAGUAGUUUGACGGCGAGCUAACAACCAAGUUGUAGAAUAGAAGUCGAGUUGUAGAAUACCUGAUAUUUGAAACAAGAGAAUUUAUUAUUUGGGGGAAGAUUACACAUGGUCUAAAGGUUGAAAGAAACUAAAAGGUGGGCUUAAAAUGGCAUUGUCCAUGCAUUGUAUUAUGUAUGUUACUUAUCGGUCAAAUUAUCUGCCUAACCCUUGACUAAGUUUAUAGAGGGCUUGACUUCUUAAUUGAAUGCCUUAAUUGAUUACUGCAUAAGUUUAUUUGCCUACAUCUUUUUUGGGAUAGAGACGUAAUUCGUUGAAUAUCCUGUGAGAAUUGAGUUAUUUGUAAUAUCAAUCAGCAUUUAAGGCAAUUUGCAUCCCUUUUUGAGUUUUGGAAAAUUGCAGAUGAUGAUGCUCCAAAAUAGU
RNAcentral lists this unclassified non-coding RNA (1213 nucleotides) under Hevea brasiliensis (rubber tree). Lineage: Eukaryota; Viridiplantae; Streptophyta; Magnoliopsida; Malpighiales; Euphorbiaceae. The record is from RNAcentral.